Molecule: ribosomal RNA, 380 nt
Filed under: uncultured Chrysophyceae
Lineage: Eukaryota; Chrysophyceae
Description: partial small subunit ribosomal RNA
Rfam family: Eukaryotic small subunit ribosomal RNA
Source: RNAcentral
GCUUGUCUCAAAGAUUAAGCCAUGCAUGUCUUAGUGUAAAUAACUCUUAUGAAACUGCGAAUGGCUCAUUAAAUCAGUUAUCAAAUACGUGAUGGUCGCCUACUACAUGGAUAACCGUAGUAAUUCUAGAGCUAAUACAUGCACAAAUUCCCGUCAGGGAUGUAUUUAUUAGAUUGAAACCAAUGCGGGGUAACCCGGUGUUUGGUGAUUCAUAAUAACUUUCGGAUCGCAUUUGCGAUGCAUCAUUCAAGUUUCUGCCCUAUCAGCUUUGGAUGGUAGGGUAUUGGCCUACCAUGGCAUUAACGGGUAACGGAGGAUUUGGGUUCGAUUCCGGAGAGGGAGCCUGAGAAAUGGCUACCACAUCCAAGGAAGGCAGCAGG